UCCCUGGUGGACAAGUGGCUAGCAUGUGGUGAUCUCAGCGCCGUGGCCCGUGUUCGAGUCCCGGUCAUGGAA
Ameiurus melas (black bullhead) is the source of this 72-nucleotide non-coding RNA. The record is from the annotation of a GenBank genome assembly. NCBI's taxonomy places the organism in Eukaryota, Metazoa, Chordata, Actinopteri, Siluriformes, Ictaluridae.